Molecule: ribosomal RNA, 429 nt
Filed under: Acidobacteriota bacterium
Lineage: Bacteria; Pseudomonadati; Acidobacteriota
Description: Acidobacteria bacterium partial 16S ribosomal RNA
Rfam family: Bacterial small subunit ribosomal RNA
Source: RNAcentral
UGGGGAAUUUUGGACCAUGGGGGAAACCCUGAUCCAGCCAUCCCGCGUGUGCGAUGAAGGCCUUCGGGUCGUAAAGCACCUUUGGCAGGAAAGAAAAGUCAUGGGUUAAUACCCCGUGAAACUGACGGUACCUGCAGAAUAAGCACCCGCUAACUACGUGCCAGCAGCCGCGGUAAUACGUAGGGUGCAAGCGUUAAUCGGAAUUACUGGGCGUAAAGCGUGCGCAGGCGGUUCGGAAAGAAAGAUGUGAAAUCCCAUGGCUCAACUUUGGAACUGCAUUUUUAACUACCGGGCUAGAGUGUGGCGGAGGGAGGUGGAAUUCCGCGUGUAGCAGUGAAAUGCGUAGAUAGGAGGAGGAACACCGGUGGAGAAGGCAGCCUCCUGGGAUAACACUGCCGCUCAUGCACGAAAGGGUGGGGAGCAAACAGG